GACGAACGCUGGCGGCGUGCUUAACACAUGCAAGUCGAGCGGUAAGGCCCUUUCGGGGGUACACGAGCGGCGAACGGGUGAGUAACACGUGGGUGACCUGCCCUUAGCUCUGGGAUAAGCCUGGGAAACUGGGUCUAAUACCGGAUAUGACUCCAUGACGCAUGUUGUGGGGUGGAAAGCCUUGUGCGGCUAGGGAUGGGCCCGCGGCCUAUCAGCUUGUUGGUGGGGUGAUGGCCUACCAAGGCGACGACGGGUAGCCGGCCUGAGAGGGCGACCGGCCACACUGGGACUGAGACACGGCCCAGACUCCUACGGGAGGCAGCAGGUGGGGAAUCUUGCGCAAGUGGGACGAAAGCCUGACGCAGCGACGCCGCGUGAGGAUGACG
Molecule: ribosomal RNA, 386 nt
Filed under: uncultured bacterium
Lineage: Bacteria
Description: bacterial SSU rRNA
Rfam family: Bacterial small subunit ribosomal RNA
Source: RNAcentral